RNAcentral lists this ribosomal RNA (1394 nucleotides) under Moraxella sp. Its description in RNAcentral is "bacterial SSU rRNA". It matches the Rfam family "Bacterial small subunit ribosomal RNA". The record is from RNAcentral. Lineage: Bacteria; Pseudomonadati; Pseudomonadota; Gammaproteobacteria; Moraxellales; Moraxellaceae.
AGUCCGAACGAUGAAUCUCUAGCUUGCUAGAUAUGAUUAGUGGCGGACGGGUGAGUAACAUUUAGGAAUCUGCCUAGUAGUGGGGGAUAGCUCGGGGAAACUCGAAUUAAUACCGCAUACGACCUACGGGUGAAAGGGGGCGCAAGCUCUUGCUAUUAGAUGAGCCUAAAUCAGAUUAGCUAGUUGGUGGGGUAAAGGCCUACCAAGGCGACGAUCUGUAACUGGUCUGAGAGGAUGAUCAGUCACACCGGAACUGAGACACGGUCCGGACUCCUACGGGAGGCAGCAGUGGGGAAUAUUGGACAAUGGGGGCAACCCUGAUCCAGCCAUGCCGCGUGUGUGAAGAAGGCCUUUUGGUUGUAAAGCACUUUAAGCAGGGAGGAGAGGCUAAUGGUUAAUACCCAUUAGAUUAGACGUUACCUGCAGAAUAAGCACCGGCUAACUCUGUGCCAGCAGCCGCGGUAAUACAGAGGGUGCGAGCGUUAAUCGGAAUUACUGGGCGUAAAGCGAGUGUAGGUGGCUCAUUAAGUCACAUGUGAAAUCCCCGGGCUUAACCUGGGAACUGCAUGUGAUACUGGUGGUGCUAGAAUAUGUGAGAGGGAAGUAGAAUUCCAGGUGUAGCGGUGAAAUGCGUAGAGAUCUGGAGGAAUACCGAUGGCGAAGGCAGCUUCCUGGCAUAAUAUUGACACUGAGAUUCGAAAGCGUGGGUAGCAAACAGGAUUAGAUACCCUGGUAGUCCACGCCGUAAACGAUGUCUACUAGCCGUUGGGGUCCUUGAGACUUUAGUGGCGCAGUUAACGCGAUAAGUAGACCGCCUGGGGAGUACGGCCGCAAGGUUAAAACUCAAAUGAAUUGACGGGGGCCCGCACAAGCGGUGGAGCAUGUGGUUUAAUUCGAUGCAACGCGAAGAACCUUACCUGGUCUUGACAUAGUGAGAAUCCUGCAGAGAUGCGGGAGUGCCUUCGGGAAUUCACAUACAGGUGCUGCAUGGCUGUCGUCAGCUCGUGUCGUGAGAUGUUGGGUUAAGUCCCGCAACGAGCGCAACCCUUUUCCUUAUUUGCCAGCGGGUUAAGCCGGGAACUUUAAGGAUACUGCCAGUGACAAACUGGAGGAAGGCGGGGACGACGUCAAGUCAUCAUGGCCCUUACGACCAGGGCUACACACGUGCUACAAUGGUAGGUACAGAGGGUUGCUACACAGCGAUGUGAUGCUAAUCUCAAAAAGCCUAUCGUAGUCCGGAUUGGAGUCUGCAACUCGACUCCAUGAAGUCGGAAUCGCUAGUAAUCGCAGAUCAGAAUGCUGCGGUGAAUACGUUCCCGGGCCUUGUACACACCGCCCGUCACACCAUGGGAGUCUAUUGCACCAGAAGUAGGUAGCCUAACGCAAGAGGGCGC